AUAUAGCUGAGUGAUAGAGUGCUUGCCUAGCAUGCGUGAGGACCUGGGUUCAAUCCCCAGUAU
Molecule: transfer RNA, 63 nt
Filed under: Fukomys damarensis (Damara mole-rat)
Lineage: Eukaryota; Metazoa; Chordata; Mammalia; Rodentia; Bathyergidae
Rfam family: tRNA
About the family: Transfer RNA (tRNA) molecules are approximately 80 nucleotides in length. Their secondary structure includes four short double-helical elements and three loops (D, anti-codon, and T loops).
Source: Rfam by way of RNAcentral